GUAAUUGGCUUUGAUAUUGUAAUAAUUAUUUUGUUGGGGCGAUAGAAAAAUUUAAUAAACUUUUUUUAAAUUUAUCCAUUAAUUUAUGAGUAAGUGAUCCAUGUUUUAUGAUUAUAAGAUUAAAUUACCUUAGGGAUAACAGCGUAAUCUUUUUUAAGAGUCU
This 163-nucleotide ribosomal RNA is filed under the name Pygopleurus israelitus. RNAcentral's name for it is "partial 16S large subunit ribosomal RNA". Lineage: Eukaryota; Metazoa; Arthropoda; Insecta; Coleoptera; Glaphyridae. The record is from RNAcentral.